CGGGCCCACCACAUCCCCGAGGACCCUGGCCACCUGGAGCUGUGCCGGCUGCCCCCUUCCUCUCAGGCCUGUGACGCCUGGGCUGGGGGCAAGGCCGGGAGUGCUGUGAUCUCGGAGGAGGGCAGAAGCCCCGGGUCCGGUGAGGCCACGCCAGAGGCCUGGGUCAUCCGGGCUCUGCCGCGGGUCCAGGAGGUCCUGAAGAUCUACCCUGGCUGGCUCAAGUGAGACUGGGCCCGAGGCUCAGGGUCUGCUGGGCGGGGUGGGGGGAGCUCCAGCUCAGGCUGUGUCCCCACAGGGUGGGCGUGGCCUAUGUGUCCGUGCGAGUGACCCCGAAGAGCACGGCCCGCUCCGUGGUGCUGGAGGUCCUGCCGCUGCUUGGCCGCCAGGCCGAGGGUCCCGAGAGCUUCCAGCUGGUGGAGGUGGCGAUGGGCUGCAGGCAUGUCCAGCGGACGAUGCUGAUGGACGAACAGCCCC
RNAcentral lists this long non-coding RNA (474 nucleotides) under Pan troglodytes (chimpanzee). RNAcentral describes it as "long non-coding RNA NONPTRT012875". The record is from RNAcentral. Lineage: Eukaryota; Metazoa; Chordata; Mammalia; Primates; Hominidae.